Molecule: ribosomal RNA, 508 nt
Filed under: uncultured bacterium
Lineage: Bacteria
Description: partial 16S ribosomal RNA
Rfam family: Bacterial small subunit ribosomal RNA
Source: RNAcentral
GACGAACGCUGGCGGCGUGCCUAAUACAUGCAAGUCGAACGCUUCUUUCCUCCCGAGUGCUUGCACUCCAUUGGAAAGAGGAGUGGCGGACGGGUGAGUAACACGUGGGUAACCUACCCAUCAGAGGGGGAUAACACUUGGAAACAGGUGCUAAUACCGCAUAACAGUUUAUGCCGCAUGGCAUAAGAGUGAAAGGCGCUUUCGGGUGUCGUUGAUGGAUGGACCCGCGGUGCAUUAGCUAGUUGGUGAGGUAACGGCUCACCAAGGCCACGAUGCAUAGCCGACCUGAGAGGGUGAACGGCCACACUGGGACUGAGACACGGCCCAGACUCCUACGGGAGGCAGCAGUAGGGAAUCUUCGGCAAUGGACGAAAGUCUGACCGAGCAACGCCGCGUGAGUGAAGAAGGUUUUCGGAUCGUAAAACUCUGUUGUUAGAGAAGAACAAGGACGUUAGUAACUGAACGUCCCCUGACGGUAUCUAACCAGAAAGCCACGGCUAACUACGUG